Varanus komodoensis (Komodo dragon) is the source of this 283-nucleotide long non-coding RNA. RefSeq lists it as uncharacterized. NCBI's taxonomy places the organism in Eukaryota, Metazoa, Chordata, Lepidosauria, Squamata, Varanidae. The record is from RefSeq and is a predicted model, not a curated record. The transcript has 3 exons.
AAAGGAAAAAAAGGAGAAAAAGCACGAUGGGCAUGGUGAUGGCAGCAGCAGCAGCAGCUCCGACAGUGAUUCGGAAAAGGGUCAUGGUGGUGACAAGAAGAAAAAGGAGAAGGAUUAAUUUUGGAGCAGCCUACAAGCCAGCCCAGGAACAUCUGCCGAGAUCAUUCAACACAUUUUCAUCUCCAACACUUGGAAGGGAAGAGUAGAGUGUCUAGGUUUAGUUCCUCCAAAAAAGUGUGUCUUUAUUUUAUUUUCUAUUAAAACAAGAUAUUUUAUUAAUAUU